This 478-nucleotide ribosomal RNA is filed under the name uncultured bacterium. Its description in RNAcentral is "partial 16S ribosomal RNA". It matches the Rfam family "Bacterial small subunit ribosomal RNA", at positions 28 to 507 of the family's 1533-position model. The record is from RNAcentral.
GAUGAACGCUGGCGGCGUGCUUAACACAUGCAAGUCGAACGGGAAACCUUUUAUUGAAGCUUCGGCAGAUUUAGCUGGUUUCUAGUGGCGGACGGGUGAGUAACGCGUGGGUAACCUGCCUUAUACAGGGGGAUAACAACCAGAAAUGGUUGCUAAUACCGCAUAAGCGCACAGGACCGCAUGGUCCGGUGUGAAAAACUCCGGUGGUAUAAGAUGGACCCGCGUUGGAUUAGCUAGUUGGCAGGGUAACGGCCUACCAAGGCGACGAUCCAUAGCCGGCCUGAGAGGGUGAACGGCCACAUUGGGACUGAGACACGGCCCAGACUCCUACGCGAGGCAGCAGUGGGGAAUAUUGCACAAUGGGGGAAACCAUGAUGCAGCGACGCCGCGUGAAGGAAGAAGUAUCUCGGUAUGUAAACUUCUAUCAGCAGGGAAGAUAGUGACGGUACCUGACUAAGAAGCCCCGGCUAACUACGUG